Molecule: long non-coding RNA, 898 nt
Organism: Magallana angulata
Lineage: Eukaryota; Metazoa; Mollusca; Bivalvia; Ostreida; Ostreidae
Exons: 2
Source: RefSeq, a predicted model, not a curated record
UCAAGAUACAUACCAUCUAUAUCAGAAAUAUAUGCGAGCUCAACCCCUAACAUCCGGUACAGUUUCUGCACAGAUAAGCCAUAUUUCACUGAAGGUUGACAGGUUGUAAGAAGCGUUGAGAAUCAACAGUUGUCCUUUUGUGAAGGGCACACACUGCGGAAGAUGACCAUGUCAGGUCAAGGGUCAAGGGAAAACACAGCUGUGGAAUCUGAUACGUGAAUUUGAACUUCAUGACCGUGAAAAACUUAGUUAUAUGUCUUUAGAAAGGAGUUUCGAGGCAAAAUCAAGACAAUGUAGGAUUGGACAGUGUCAAAAUAUUAACUGGGAUUCAAAUUGCUGUUGGAUGAAAAUAGAGAUGAUCAAACUGCACAGGUGUUAGAUUGUAGGCAUGCAGGUUUCUGAUUGUAUAAAAUCAAUUUUUGCGACUGAUGACACAUAACCAAUUGAUAUUCUUCUAACAUUUCAUCAUAGGGUUCAGAGGCCAAAAUUUUGUUAACUAAAAAGUAGGGAUUCAAAUCUGACUGCUCCAUCCCUAAGUGUAGUGGAUGUGGAUCCUGUGGAUGAAAAACAAGUCAAAAACCUGCAGGUCAAUAAGUUGUAACAUGAAAGAAAGUCUUAGUGCUCAUGUAUACGUGUUUCUCAGUAGUUCUAUGGUGGAUGUGUAGAAUAAAAUCCUGAAUUACCUUAUAGACUGUCAGAUCUGAUCUUUAAUAUGGUCGUAACCUCUAGACAGAAACAUGUCUCCUCCAAAUGUUUUAUUCUGUAAACUUGCACUAACAUUACACUUAAUUUAUCAAGGAGUUUAUACAAGUAUACAAUUUUCUUAUCAAGGUAAACCAAAUAUAAAAUGAGAGUCAACUUAUAUUUAUAUGUGCAGAAACUAUUACCCCCCCCCCCC